Chinchilla lanigera (long-tailed chinchilla) is the source of this 421-nucleotide long non-coding RNA. RefSeq lists it as uncharacterized. Lineage: Eukaryota; Metazoa; Chordata; Mammalia; Rodentia; Chinchillidae. The record is from RefSeq and is a predicted model, not a curated record. The transcript has 3 exons.
UGUUGCUCCUAGUAAUCUCUACUAGCAUCCGUUAGCAAUCACUUGAGGAAGCUUUCUCCAUUUCCUGCUUUUCUCCUAGACUCGAAUCCCACAGCAGCUGCCAACAAGCUAUUUUAGGAGGCUCUACACCUUGAAGGCUGCAGUUUAACUCCUCCUUCAGUAGUUCCUGCGUCUCAGAUCUACAAGCAAACUCUUACCAGUAGGAAAUCACUGGGAUGAAAUUUUGAUUGAAGGUCAAGUGUGGAGCAGGGGAUUGUAUUAAUAAAGACCAUGUGAAGUGAACUGCUGGAAUGAUUUUAACCCAACACUGACCAGAGAGUAGAAAGCACUACAAAGUAAGAGGGGGAGUUUUGUCAUAUUGGCCAGGUUGGUCUCCAACUCAUGGACUCAAAUGAUCAUCCUGCCUCAGCCUCCAGAGUAG